UACGUAGGGGGCAAGCGUUGUCCGGAUUUAUUGGGCGUAAAGAGCGUGUAGGCGGCUUUACAGGUCCGUUGUGAAAACUCGAGGCUCAACCUCGAGACGCCGGUGGAAACCGUAAAGCUAGAGUCCGGAAGAGGAGAGUGGAAUUCCUGGUGUAGCGGUGAAAUGCGCAGAUAUCAGGAAGAACACCAAUGGCGAAGGCAGCUCUCUGGGACGGUGCUGACGCUGAGACGCGAAAGCGUGGGGAGCGAACAGG
Molecule: ribosomal RNA, 253 nt
Filed under: uncultured bacterium
Lineage: Bacteria
Description: partial 16S ribosomal RNA
Rfam family: Bacterial small subunit ribosomal RNA
Source: RNAcentral